RNAcentral lists this ribosomal RNA (451 nucleotides) under uncultured bacterium. Its description in RNAcentral is "bacterial SSU rRNA". It matches the Rfam family "Bacterial small subunit ribosomal RNA", at positions 354 to 796 of the family's 1533-position model. The record is from RNAcentral.
GUGGGGAAUAUUGGACAAUGGGCGCAAGCCUGAUCCAGCAAUGCCGCGUGUGUGAAGAAGGCCUGCGGGUUGUAAAGCACUUUAAGCAGGGAGGACGGGUUGCGGGGUUAAUACCCUUGUGACUUGACGUUACCUGCAGAAUAAGCACCGGCUAACUUCGUGCCAGCAGCCGCGGUAAUACGAAGGGUGCAAGCGUUAAUCGGAAUUACUGGGCGUAAAGCGCGUGUAGGCGGUUGGCUAAGUCAGAUGUGAAAGCCCCGGGCUCAACCUGGGAAUUGCAUUUGAUACUGGCUGGCUAGAAUGUGGUAGAGGGAGGCGGAAUUCCCGGUGUAGCGGUGAAAUGCGUAGAUAUCGGGAAGAACACCAAUGGCGAAGGCAGCCUCCUGGGCCAACAUUGACGCUGAGACGCGAAAGCGUGGGGAGCAAACAGGAUUAGAAACCCCAGUAGUCC